ACAGAGCCCAUGCCUUUGCCUCCUCUGGCCAACUCUAAUCAUAAAUCUCCUGUGAAUCAGCUGGGAAACAUGCAGAAUAUGAGAUUGAGGCCCUCAUUCAUACUAACUGAAAUUUUCCUUGGCAAUGGUAGAACAGAAGCUUCUCCAUUCUAUAGAGAUGAACUUGCCUUAGGUAAGAUCUUCUCAGAGUACAAAGGAAAUUUAUUCUGGAAAUUUCAAACAAAUAUGGCCUCCUCACUGGAACCGGAACUGGAUCCACCAUCCCUUUUUCUCAGUGUCUUAUUGUUUAUGUUUUAGAUCUUUCACAAGGUGAGCUACAUCUCUGAGAGGAGCUCCUGGAAAUUACCAGCAAUACUUAGUAUUGCCAACUCUACAGAUGAAGAUGAUGCACCUUGAUGAGGAAUGAGUACUGAGCCCAAAUCCUACAAAUGUGAUCAUACCAAAGACUUAUGAAUUAGAUAUCAAAUUAUAAAAUACAAGUGUAGUUGAUACCUGUUUAGAUGAUGUAGGGCAAAGUAAUGGAGUAUGUAUUAAAAGCAAAAAUUCCCAUGAAGCAGAACUGUUACCCUCUUCCAAAACCUCCCACUCUCAAGUUUUAAGAGGCCAUAAACCUAAAUGUACAUU
Molecule: non-coding RNA, 624 nt
Organism: Saimiri boliviensis boliviensis (Bolivian squirrel monkey)
Lineage: Eukaryota; Metazoa; Chordata; Mammalia; Primates; Cebidae
Source: RefSeq, a predicted model, not a curated record